AUGGUUGUGCUCUUUGAUCCUGGAACUGUUGUCGAGAUGGAUGAAGAGGGGUGCUGGUUGGAGGACCCAGAACCCUCCCAGCUGCUAUGUCUCAUGGUGCCCCUACCCUGCCUGCCUGAAUGGCCAAAUUAUUGGCUGUUACUUCUCUGGUUUUAUAUUGAGUUUGGGAAUUUGGUAUUGAUGAUAGUCCGGCGACUCUGUCAUUUGAUGCACAAGUCCAUGCACGUCGGCUCUCUGGGUCGUCCAGUAAAGCUGUCGAAGGAGCUUCAUGCUGAAGAACAUAACACUUGUAGAGCUUGUAAAAUACUGUAUCUCAUUAUUGAACUUGUGGAGCUUGUAGCUGUGACUGGCAUACUGUUAUUACACUUGCAGAGCUUGCAAAGUGUAUGUUAG
RNAcentral lists this ribosomal RNA (393 nucleotides) under Triticum aestivum (bread wheat). RNAcentral describes it as "partial small subunit ribosomal RNA". The record is from RNAcentral. Lineage: Eukaryota; Viridiplantae; Streptophyta; Magnoliopsida; Poales; Poaceae.